Oncorhynchus tshawytscha (Chinook salmon) is the source of this 394-nucleotide long non-coding RNA. The record is from Ensembl. Lineage: Eukaryota; Metazoa; Chordata; Actinopteri; Salmoniformes; Salmonidae.
GGAAAAGGGGAGGCAUCCUCGGCCUGCAACAUCUGUUCAAGCAGCCAGCAGAUUUCCCUGAGUAAGCAGCACAUUAACCAGAAUACAGUAGGAGGACCUUUCAGACCUCUAGGGGACUAAAGAAGAGAGGGACAGACAGAAACCCCCACCGGGUUAACCACUAUAGAAGAAGAUCAAGCCAAGGAUCCCUAUGUCGCACUACAACAACACUGGAGUAUAUAACAACCCCGCCUAUCAUGACAGUGACACCCUGGAGAUAGAUAGGAGUCCUUCCAGGAAAUCCCAAUCCCAUCAUAGUAACCCACAUGGUAACCCCUACCCCAGGGAUGAUGGAGCCGGGGGGCAGAGGGGCAGGUCCGACCUCCAGCAGCUCCCAGGAGGGGUCCAGUCCAGC